RNAcentral lists this ribosomal RNA (755 nucleotides) under uncultured archaeon. Its description in RNAcentral is "bacterial SSU rRNA". It matches the Rfam family "Archaeal small subunit ribosomal RNA", at positions 325 to 1081 of the family's 1478-position model. The record is from RNAcentral.
ACGGGGCGCAGCAGGCGCGAAAACUUUGCAAUGUGCGAAAGCACGACAAGGUUAAUCCGAGUGGUUUCUGCUAAAGAAACCUUUUGUCAGUCCUAGAAACACUAACGAAUAAGGGGUGGGCAAGUUCUGGUGUCAGCCGCCGCGGUAAAACCAGCACCUCAAGUGGUCAGGAUGAUUAUUGGGCCUAAAGCAUCCGUAGCUCGUUUUGUAAGUUUUCGGUUAAAUCCAUGCGCUUAACGUAUGGGCUGCCGGGAAUACUGCAUAACUAGGAAGUGGGAGAGGUAGACGGUACUCGGGAGGAAGGGGUAAAAUCCUUUGAUCUCUUGAUGACCACCUGUGGCGAAGGCGGUCUACCAGAACACGUUCGACGGUGAGGGAUGAAAGCUGGGGGAGCAAACCGGAUUAGAUACCCGGGUAGUCCCAGCUGUAAACUAUGCAAACUCAGUGAUGCAUUGGCUUAUGGCCAAUGCAGUGCUGCAGGGAAGCCGUUAAGUUUGCCGCCUGGGAAGUACGUACGCAAGUAUGAAACUUAAAGGAAUUGGCGGGGGAGCACCACAAGAGGUGAAGCCUGCGGUUCAAUUGGAGUCAACGCCAGAAAUCUUACCCGGAGAGACAGCAGAAUGAAGGUCAAGCUGAAGACUUUACCAGACAAGCUGAGAGGUGGUGCAUGGCCGUCGCCAGCUCGUGCCGUGAGAUGUCCUGUUAAGUCAGGUAACGAGCGAGAUCCCUGCCUCUAGUUGCCACCAUUACUCUCA